Molecule: ribosomal RNA, 492 nt
Filed under: uncultured bacterium
Lineage: Bacteria
Description: partial 16S ribosomal RNA
Rfam family: Bacterial small subunit ribosomal RNA
Source: RNAcentral
AGUGAACGCUGGCGGUAGGCCUAACACAUGCAAGUCGAACGGCAGCACAGUAAGAGCUUGCUCUUACGGGUGGCGAGUGGCGGACGGGUGAGGAAUACAUCGGAAUCUACUUUUUCGUGGGGGAUAACGUAGGGAAACUAACGCUAAUACCUCAUACGACCUACGGGUGAAAGCAGGGGAUCUUCGGACCUUGCGCGAUUGAAUGAGCCGAUGUCGGAUUAGCUAGUUGGCGGGGUAAAGGCCCACCAAGGCGACGAUCCGUAGCUGGUCUGAGAGGAUGAUCAGCCACACUAGAACUGAGACACGGUCCAGACUCCUACGGGAGGCAGCAGUGGGGAAUAUUGGACAAUGGGCGCAAGCCUGAUCCAGCCAUACCGCGUGGGUGAAGAAGGCCUUCGGGUUGUAAAGCCCUUUUGUUGGGAAAGAAAAGCAGCAGGUUAAUACCCCGCUGUUCUGACGGUACCCAAAGAAUAAGCACCGGCUAACUUCGUG